UUAAGGUUAACCUGCCCACUGAUUAAUUAAAUGGCCGCAGUAAUUUGACUGUGCAAAGGUAGCAUAAUCAUUAGUUUUUUAAUUAAAAGCUUGUAUGAAUGAUUGGACGAGAUAAAAUCUGUCUCUUAUUAAAAAUUAGAAUUUAAUUUUUAAGUUAAAAAGCUUAAAUUUUUAUAAAAGACGAGAAGACCCUAUAGAUUUUUAUUUUUAUUUAUUUAUAUAAUAUAAAGAUUUAUUAGUUUUAUAUAUUAGAUAAAAAUUUUAUUGGGGUAAUAAAAAGAUUAAUAAAAUUCUUUUGAAAUUUAAUAUAGAUUAAUAAGUAUUUGAUCCAUAAUAAUGAUUAUAAGAUUAAGUUACCUUAGGGAUAACAGCGUAAUUUUUUUAGAGAGUUCUUAUCGAUAAAAAAGUUUGCGACCUCGAUGUUGGAUUAAAAUUAAUUUUAAAUGCAGAAGUUUAAAAUUUUAGUCUGUUCGACUAUUAAAUUUUU
Molecule: ribosomal RNA, 487 nt
Filed under: Microdytes sp. BMNH 693506
Lineage: Eukaryota; Metazoa; Arthropoda; Insecta; Coleoptera; Dytiscidae
Description: partial 16S ribosomal RNA
Rfam family: Bacterial large subunit ribosomal RNA (bases 364-487)
Source: RNAcentral